GAACGCUGGCGGUAGGCCUAACACAUGCAAGUCGAACGGCAGCACAGUAAGAGCUUGCUCUUACGGGUGGCGAGUGGCGGACGGGUGAGGAAUACAUCGGAAUCUACUUUUUCGUGGGGGAUAACGUAGGGAAACUUACGCUAAUACCGCAUACGACCUACGGGUGAAAGCAGGUGAUCUUCGGACCUUGCGCGAUUGAAUGAGCCGAUGUCGGAUUAGCUAGUUGGCGGGGUAAAGGCCCACCAAGGCGACGAUCCGUAGCUGGUCUGAGAGGAUGAUCAGCCACACUGGAACUGAGACACGGUCCAGACUCCUACGGGAGGCAGCAGUGGGGAAUAUUGGACAAUGGGCGCAAGCCUGAUCCAGCCAUACCGCGUGGGUGAAGAAGGCCUUCGGGUUGUAAAGCCCUUUUGUUGGGAAAGAAAAGCAGCAGGUUAAUACCCCGCUGUUCUGACGGUACCCAAAGAAUAAGCACCGGCUAACUUCGUG
Molecule: ribosomal RNA, 489 nt
Filed under: uncultured bacterium
Lineage: Bacteria
Description: partial 16S ribosomal RNA
Rfam family: Bacterial small subunit ribosomal RNA
Source: RNAcentral